GUCUAUGGCCAUACCACCCUGAACGCGCCCGAUCUCGUCUGAUCUCGGAAGCUAAGCAGGGUCGGGCCUGGUUAGUACUUGGAUGGGAGACCGAAUAAUGUCCCUACAAACUCUGGUCC
This 119-nucleotide ribosomal RNA is filed under the name Felis catus (domestic cat). Lineage: Eukaryota; Metazoa; Chordata; Mammalia; Carnivora; Felidae. The record is from RNAcentral.